GUGGUCCUACGGGGCGCAGCAGUGAGGAAUAUUGGUCAAUGGGAGAGAUCCUGAACCAGCCAAGCCGCGUGAGGGAAGACGGCCCUAUGGGUUGUAAACCUCUUUUGUCGGAGAACAAAACCCGGGACGUGUCCCGGACUGCGUGUAUCCGAAGAAGAAGCCCCGGCUAACUACGUGCCAGCAGCCGCGGUAAUACGUAGGGGGCAAGCGUUAUCCGGAUUUACUGGGUGUAAAGGGGGCGCAGACGGCGAUGCAAGCCAGGAGUGAAAGC
This 271-nucleotide ribosomal RNA is filed under the name uncultured bacterium. Its description in RNAcentral is "partial 16S ribosomal RNA". It matches the Rfam family "Bacterial small subunit ribosomal RNA", at positions 333 to 601 of the family's 1533-position model. The record is from RNAcentral.